This is a long non-coding RNA of Daktulosphaira vitifoliae (grape phylloxera), 384 nucleotides long. RefSeq lists it as uncharacterized. The record is from RefSeq and is a predicted model, not a curated record. The transcript is spliced from 2 exons. Lineage: Eukaryota; Metazoa; Arthropoda; Insecta; Hemiptera; Phylloxeridae.
UUUUUUUACAUGUUUUUGCGCAGUCUUCGCGAUGAUCACGGAUGAAAAACGUGCUAUAUACAAAUAAAUUUGGUUUCCAAAUGUGGAAUUGAAACUUUUUAUAGUUUACAUGAUAAAACAAUUAUGUUUUAAUAAAAAUAAAUUACUGUAUAAAUACGCUAAAUAUUUGAAGAUAAUAUGCUGUACCUAUUCAUAAAAAUAAUACACGAUGAAAAGUGAUUCUUGUUUCAAAAAGCAUAUCAAUGUCAACUUUUACCAGAGAACAUCGUGAAAAAUCUAAGUUUAUAAAGCACAAUUGAUUUUUUUCAACGUCUGAAUUAUAUUUGUAGUAUUCUUUUAAUUAACAAAAUAAUUUAACUAUGAAACAAAAUGAUAAAUAUUAUG